Molecule: long non-coding RNA, 651 nt
Organism: Wasmannia auropunctata (little fire ant)
Lineage: Eukaryota; Metazoa; Arthropoda; Insecta; Hymenoptera; Formicidae
Exons: 2
Source: RefSeq, a predicted model, not a curated record
CGUGUGCUGUCAGCUGUGUGCCUGUGUAUCCGCGAUUUGACAACGAAAUACCCGGCCGAUGUUACCCGUCAAAUUAUUGUUAUUUUGUGCAUAAGUCAUAAAUUAAUGGCAUAAAUAUCAAACUACGAGGAUUUGUUGAAUAAGAAAUUGCAUCGGCAUACCAUUUUGCUAUUGUAACAAACGUAACAAUCUCUACGCAAGAUAAGUAUUAUGUAAAAUUGUGCAUAACAAUUAACCUAUAUUGCCGCUUAAAAUUAUAAAAGAGACCUUAUUAUUAAUUCAGAGUCGCUAUACGACUUAAUAUUUGAAAAAUGAAUCGAUCAAGUAAUCUUAAGCAUUGAUAGUUGACAAAGAAUAUUUUGGGCCAAUUUUGUAUAAUUAGAUUAAAAUGUCAACAGAACCUCGCAGCAUGCAGAUUCAAUAGCAAUUUGGUUUUUAGCUUGUAAAUUGCGCACAAUGUUAAACAGAAUGUUAAAAAUGAAUCAAAGUUUUUAUAGAGAUGCAUAAAGGUAAUAAAAAAAAAGGUAUCCCAUAAAUUGAAUGUUAUUAAAUCCAUUUAUAAAACCAGCUCGAUCGUGAAUAUGCUCUGUAUCACAAAUUAAGUAUGAAUGUAAAAUUAAAUUACAUAUUAAUAAAUGAGUGUUAUUAUAA